UCCUCCUUGACAAUGUGUAGGAUAGAGUGAUUAUAUCUGCAUAAGGCUCACUGGGGUAACAAAUACCGUAGGUGAGGCUUUUAUUGGGGACGUGGACAUUACUAGGGAUGCACUAGGUUUUACAAGGUGAUGAAUGGUUCACAUUUGCUGGGUAUUGAGGUUUUGGAUGGACCAAUGGAUUCUAAUGCAUGAAAAUUCUCUGGGGAUGAUGUAUACUUACACCACUGGGGGUAGUAAUCGCUUGAGGAUGGUGACUUUCUACCGAGGGAUCAAGGAUCAAUGGGGGACCCUUGGGGUGAUGGUUUAUUGGCAGUAGCGACCCGUUGGGGAUGCCGGUCUACUUGGGAUGUUGGUUUGUUGGGGUGGAUGGACCAUUGGGGUUGAUUAAUGGACCAUUGAAAGCAGUGACUCAUUGGGGAUGUUGGUCCAUCAUGAAUAACAAUUCACCGGGGGAGAUGGACCGUUGGGGUAUAUGGUCCCUUGGUGGUAGUAGUCCACUAGGGAUGAUGAAUCAUCCAUGGUGAUGGACCACUGAGGGUGAUAGUCCUUUUGGGCAUUGAUGGACCAUUGGGGAUGGUGUGUCAUCAGGGGUUCUUAUGGUGCUCUGAGCAUGAUGUCACCCAUGGGGUCUUAUGAGAGUUCAAAUGAGCAGGGUAUGUUUGGUAUAGCUCCAUGGGGAUGAUGGAGCUUUAAGGUGAAACCCAAGUGAACAAGGGUUGUUAGGAUGAUUUAUGAUAGGGACAGGGAUGGUGAAUGGGAUGAUUUAGGAUUCCCAUGGUUUUUGUGAGCGAUCAGGUUUUUUUUCAGUGGACAGCAUUUGUCAACCCCAAUGAUAGGAUUGAGUGUAAUUUUGAAGUUUUAAUGCAAGGGUGUGUCUCAAUGUAUUCUUAAUGGGGAUUAGGUGUAUCAAGGAUAUGACUCUGUUGGGGAUUGAGAUCAUUAAAGACCAAAACAUGCUUAGAGUCCAUUAAAACUCUCUGAACUGAAUCCAGGGUCAUACUGGAUUAAUAAAUCCAUGGUUUGGUGUAAAAGGGUUUUGAAAGAGGGGGCUACUGGGCUCAGCGUUUUGGGCUUCACCUGGCCUUGGGUUACCCACUGAGGGGUUAGUGUGUGCAGGUAGAACAAGGAGCAUAGCUCUUUUGUUCACCUUGUGUCAAGUGUGCGCAAGUGUGUGUUGGGCUCAUGGUUAAACCAUGGGCUCGUGUAAGUUGAUUGAGAGAUGAGAAUGAAGUGAGAAGAGGUGAAUGUGUGUC
This 1253-nucleotide long non-coding RNA is filed under the name Amborella trichopoda. Its description in RNAcentral is "long non-coding RNA (ATRI_LNC002875)". Lineage: Eukaryota; Viridiplantae; Streptophyta; Magnoliopsida; Amborellales; Amborellaceae. The record is from RNAcentral.